Molecule: unclassified non-coding RNA, 348 nt
Filed under: fungal sp.
Lineage: Eukaryota; Fungi
Description: partial internal transcribed spacer region
Rfam family: Eukaryotic small subunit ribosomal RNA (bases 1-46)
Source: RNAcentral
AAGUCGUAACAAGGUUUCCGUAGGUGAACCUGCGGAAGGAUCAUUAUACGUUUAUCCAACGUACCAACCAACGCGCUCUCGUUUAACCCGAGUCUGUGCACGAGCUUUCUUAGGCCAUCCAAAAUAUGGUGGGAACCGCAAGGUUCUGUUUGGGUGGUCGAUCACGAACUCGCGCACUGCAACCAUUUUUUUAUAUUCAUUUAUUAAACGCAUUGUAAUCACUUGUACUAAUUACGAUAAACAUCUUUUUCUUUUCUUUUUUUUUCUUCAUUGAAAAAGAGAGAGAGACAAGGUGGAAUUAAGACAUUAAUUGCUGAACAACUCUUAGCAACGGAUAUCUUGGUUCUC